RNAcentral lists this small nuclear RNA (116 nucleotides) under Chinchilla lanigera (long-tailed chinchilla). The record is from RNAcentral. Lineage: Eukaryota; Metazoa; Chordata; Mammalia; Rodentia; Chinchillidae.
GUGCCACCUUGCCCGGCCUCAACAGCACAUAGACUAAAACUGAAAAAAUACAGAGAUGAUUAGCAGGGCGCCUGUGUAAGGAUGACACGCAAAUUGAUGAAGCAUUCCAGAUCUUU